RNAcentral lists this non-coding RNA (98 nucleotides) under Ilyobacter polytropus. RNAcentral describes it as "Guanine sequence". It matches the Rfam family "Purine riboswitch aptamer". From Rfam's summary of the family: Riboswitches are metabolite binding domains within certain messenger RNAs that serve as precision sensors for their corresponding targets. Allosteric rearrangement of mRNA structure is mediated by ligand binding, and this results in modulation of gene expression. Lineage: Bacteria; Fusobacteriati; Fusobacteriota; Fusobacteriia; Fusobacteriales; Fusobacteriaceae. RNAcentral also lists the same sequence under 1 other name. The record is from RNAcentral.
UGUUUAGAUAAAAAUAUUACUCAUAUAAACUGCAAAUACGGUGCAGUGUAUCUACGACUAACCUUAAAUUGGUCUCUAUGAGAGGUGUAAUGACUUAG